UAAUACGUAGGUGGCGAGCGUUGUCCGGAAUUACUGGGUGUAAAGGGCGUGUAGGCGGGAAUACAAGUCAGAUGUGAAAUACCGUGGCUUAACCACGGGGCUGCAUCUGAAACUGUGUUUCUUGAGUGUCGGAGAGGAAAGUGGAAUUCCCAGUGUAGCGGUGAAAUGCGUAGAUAUUGGGAGGAACACCAGUGGCGAAGGCGACUUUCUGGACGAUAACUGACGCUGAGGCGCGAAAGCGUGGGGAGCAAACAGGAUUAGAUACCCUGGUAGUCCACGCUGUAAACGAUGGAUACUAGGUGUGGGAGGUAUCGACCCCUUCCGUGCCGCAGUUAACACAAUAAGUAUCCCACCUGGGGAGUACGGCCGCAAGGUUG
This 377-nucleotide ribosomal RNA is filed under the name uncultured bacterium. RNAcentral's name for it is "bacterial SSU rRNA". It matches the Rfam family "Bacterial small subunit ribosomal RNA", at positions 521 to 896 of the family's 1533-position model. The record is from RNAcentral.